CGAACUGUGCAAACGUUAUUCGGAAUCACUGGGCUUACAGGGUGCGUAGGCGGUCUGUUAAGUAGGGUGUGAAAGCCCCCGGCUCAACCGGGGAAUUGCGCCCUAAACUGGCGGACUGGAGUGAGAUAGGGGUGUGCGGAACUUCCGGUGGAGCGGUGAAAUGUGUUGAUAUCGGAAGGAACGCCGGUGGCGAAAGCGGCACACUGGAUCUCAACUGACGCUGAGGCACGAAAGCCAGGGGAGCGAACGGGAUUAGAUACCCCGGUAGUCCUGGCUGUAAACGAUGAGCACUAGCUGGGAGGGACGUAGGUCCUUCCCAACGGAGCGAAAGUGUUAAGUGCUCCGCCUGGGGAGUAUGGUCGCAAGGCUG
RNAcentral lists this ribosomal RNA (370 nucleotides) under uncultured organism. RNAcentral's name for it is "bacterial SSU rRNA". It matches the Rfam family "Bacterial small subunit ribosomal RNA", at positions 526 to 896 of the family's 1533-position model. The record is from RNAcentral.